Molecule: ribosomal RNA, 468 nt
Filed under: uncultured bacterium
Lineage: Bacteria
Description: partial 16S ribosomal RNA
Rfam family: Bacterial small subunit ribosomal RNA
Source: RNAcentral
GACGAACGCUGGCGGCGUGCUUAACACAUGCAAGUCGAACGGAAAGGCCCUGCUUUUGUGGGGUGCUCGAGUGGCGAACGGGUGAGUAACACGUGAGUAACCUGCCCUUGACUUUGGGAUAACUUCAGGAAACUGGGGCUAAUACCGGAUAGGAGCUCCUGCUGCAUGGUGGGGGUUGGAAAGUUUCGGCGGUUGGGGAUGGACUCGCGGCUUGUCAGCUUGUUGGUGGGGUAGUGGCUUACCAAGGCUUUGACGGGUAGCCGGCCUGAGAGGGUGACCGGCCACAUUGGGACUGAGAUACGGCACAGACUCCUACGGGAGGCAGCAGUGGGGAAUAUUGUACAAUGGGCGGAAGCCUGAUGCAGCACCGCCGCGUGCGGGAUGACGGCCUUCGGGUUGUAAACCGCUUUCGCCUGUGACGAAGCGUGAGUGACGGUAAUGGGUAAAGAAGCACCGGCUAACUACGUG